CAACUUUUUCGCGCGGUGCCGUUGUCUACUCGCAUACGUGAUUUAGUGUUAGUGAUACUAAAGUUUUUCAUAAACAUGGUGAAUUUUGGUGGCCAAAACAUUGAUGGUGAGAACAUUAGGAAGAAAAUGUUGCGAAAGCAGAUAAAAAAACUACAGUUAUUGAACCCAAAUAGCGAAGCGCGACCACGAAAAAUCCGAUGAGCAGCCUGCAAGCCAGGACGCAAUAAAAGACAAACCAUGAUUACCAGAAACUGAUGUGGAUCUUCAGACAGUUUCAUAUAGUACUUUUUUGUCACAAUGUACAAGGACAGCUCAAAAUGACGAGCAAGAAACAUAUUUAUUUUCGGAACAAGGUGAAGAAGAAAAAAUGAAAGUCGUAUCAAGAAGAUAAACAUUGGAACAAUAAAAUAGUACCAAAACCAGCAUUCGAAAAUAUCUGUUAUGUUAUGUUAUAUUAUAUAUCAAAUGUCAAAAUUCUAUCUUAUUAUCUAUACUAAUAUUAUAAAUCUAAAGAGUUUGUUUGUUUGUUUGAA
This is a long non-coding RNA of Colias croceus (clouded yellow), 533 nucleotides long. RefSeq lists it as uncharacterized. The record is from RefSeq and is a predicted model, not a curated record. The transcript is spliced from 3 exons. Lineage: Eukaryota; Metazoa; Arthropoda; Insecta; Lepidoptera; Pieridae.